Molecule: ribosomal RNA, 240 nt
Filed under: Triticum aestivum (bread wheat)
Lineage: Eukaryota; Viridiplantae; Streptophyta; Magnoliopsida; Poales; Poaceae
Description: partial small subunit ribosomal RNA
Source: RNAcentral
AUGAUCGCCAAAGUCGACAAGUACUUGUCGGGGUGGCGUGCGCGCCUUCUCUCCCCUGCCGGGCGGCUCGUCCUCAUCAAUGCCGUCUUGGAUGCUCUUCCCACGUACGCUAUGGCGGCUAUGUUGCUCCCUCCGGCGGUGAUCAAAGCGCUUGACUCGCUGCGUCGUGCCUUCCUUUGGAACGCGGCUGAGCGCGCGUCUGGCGCCCAAUGUUUGGUGGCGUGGGAGCGAGUGUGCCGG